RNAcentral lists this long non-coding RNA (1008 nucleotides) under Oncorhynchus kisutch (coho salmon). Its description in RNAcentral is "lncRNA (ENSOKIG00005002060.1)". Lineage: Eukaryota; Metazoa; Chordata; Actinopteri; Salmoniformes; Salmonidae. The record is from RNAcentral.
AAACGUUUUGUUAAAACAGAUAUCAGAUUACUGAGUAGUUUGGUUCAUCAGGCUGACCCCCAGUGUUCAUGGAUCAGAUUACUGAGUAGUUUGGUUCAUCAGGCUGACCCCCAGUGUUCAUGGAUCAGAUUACUGAGUAGUUUGGUUCAUCAGGCUGACCCCCAGUGUUCAUGGAUCAGAUUACUGAGUAGUUUGGUUCAUCAGGCUGACCCCCAGUGUUCAUGGAUCAGAUUACUGAGUAGUUUGGUUCAUCAGGCUGACCCCCAGUGUUCAUGGAUCAGAUUACUGAGUAGUUUGGUUCAUCAGGCUGACCCCCAGUGUUCAUGGAUCAGAUUACUGAGUAGUUUGGUUCAUCAGGCUGACCCCCAGUGUUCAUGGAUCAGAUUACUGAGUAGUUUGGUUCAUCAGGCUGACCUCCAGUCUUCAUGGAUCAGAUUACUGAGUAGUUUGCUUCAUCAGGCUGACCCCCAGUGUUCAUGGAUCAGAUUACUGAGUAGUUUGGUUCAUCAGGCUGACCCCCAGUGUUCAUGGAUCAGAUUACUGAGUAGUUUGGUUCAUCAGGCUGACCCCCAGUCUUCAUGGAUCAGAUUACUGAGUAGUUUGGUUCAUCAGGCUGACCCCCAGUGUUCAUGGAUCAGAUUACUGAGUAGUUUGGUUCAUCAGGCUGACCCCCAGUGUUCAUGGAUCAGAUUACUGAGUAGUUUGGUUCAUCAGGCUGACCCCCAGUGUUCAUGGAUCAGAUUACUGAGUAGUUUGGUUCAUCAGGCUGACCCCCAGUGUUCAUGGAUCAGAUUACUGAGUAGUUUGGUUCAUCAGGCUGACCCCCAGUCUUCAUGGAUCAGAUUACUGAGUAGUUUGGUUCAUCAGGCUGACCCCCAGUGUUCAUGGAUCAGAUUACUGAGUAGUUUGGUUUAUCAGGCUGACCCCCAGUGUUCAUGGAUCAGAUUACUGAGUAGUUUGGUUCAUCAGGCUGACCUCCAGUCUUCUCUUGAAGUUAUUGAGGGAUGA